RNAcentral lists this ribosomal RNA (254 nucleotides) under uncultured bacterium. Its description in RNAcentral is "partial 16S ribosomal RNA". It matches the Rfam family "Bacterial small subunit ribosomal RNA", at positions 524 to 776 of the family's 1533-position model. The record is from RNAcentral.
UACGAAGGUCCCGAGCGUUGUUCGGAAUCACUGGGCGUAAAGGGAGCGUAGGCGGGCGCGGUAAGUCAGAUGUGAAAUCCCGGGGCUCAACCCCGGAACUGCAUCCGAUACUGCCGUGCUAGAGGAUUGGAGAGGUAGCUGGAAUUCUUGGUGUAGCAGUGAAAUGCGUGGAGAUCAAGAGGAACACUCGUGGCGAAAGCGAGCUACUGGACAAUAUCUGACGCUGAGGCUCGAAGGCCAGGGUAGCGAAAGGG